Long non-coding RNA from Quercus robur (English oak), 373 nucleotides. RefSeq lists it as uncharacterized. The record is from RefSeq and is a predicted model, not a curated record. NCBI's taxonomy places the organism in Eukaryota, Viridiplantae, Streptophyta, Magnoliopsida, Fagales, Fagaceae. The transcript is spliced from 2 exons.
GAUGUGGGAGACACAAGAAGAUUCUUAUUUAGUAUUAUUUAUGUUUGCAAGCCAAUUGUAUUUUUAUAUUUUAGGUUCUAUUAGUUUAGUGGGCUAUUAGUAUUUUAAUUUAGAAGUAAGGUUAUUUUUGUAAUAAGGCAACUAGGGUUUCCUAGCCAAUUAGAACUAGGGUUUAGUAAUCCUUUAUAAGCAACCUAUUGUACUCCUUGAGGAGAUAGUUGAUAUUUUGACGAAUGAAAACAAUGGUCGUUUGGUCUUUCUUUGGUCUGGUGCUGACUCCAGGUCUACCCUAGGUGCUGACUCCUAGUGGUUUCCCCGCUUGGUGCUGACUCCAAGCAAGGCCUAGGUGCUGACUCCUAGGUCAUAUCUUUUA